AAAGCUAUACGUUCGGGAAAUCACAACUCACACAAAUACAGAUUCAAUUACAGCUUUAACACAACUUAUCCAACACAAUUUCUCAGCAUUCAACAUCCCAAUUAGGGUCAAUUCAACGGUUUAUCACUACCCAUUACAUGUUAACCCAUAAUACCCAUUAAACGACGAUAAACCCCCCUUACCUGAGUUAAUCCGGCAAUCCUUUAGCCUCAAGCUCUUCUCUUCUCCAACCUUCUUCCUCUUGCUCUGCCUCUU
This 255-nucleotide long non-coding RNA is filed under the name Lathyrus oleraceus (garden pea). RNAcentral describes it as "Pisum sativum (pea) long non-coding RNA (PSAT_LNC026743)". The record is from RNAcentral. Lineage: Eukaryota; Viridiplantae; Streptophyta; Magnoliopsida; Fabales; Fabaceae.